UCUAUUGCAACGUUCAAAAAAUGUUGCAAUAGAUAGGCUAUUGCAACAUCUUUUCAAUGUUGCAAAAGUC
Molecule: microRNA precursor, 70 nt
Filed under: Olea europaea subsp. europaea
Lineage: Eukaryota; Viridiplantae; Streptophyta; Magnoliopsida; Lamiales; Oleaceae
Source: RNAcentral